Molecule: ribosomal RNA, 398 nt
Filed under: uncultured bacterium
Lineage: Bacteria
Description: bacterial SSU rRNA
Rfam family: Bacterial small subunit ribosomal RNA
Source: RNAcentral
GGAAUCUUCCACAAUGGACGAAAGUCUGAUGGAGCAACUCCGCGUGCAGGAUGAAGGCCUUCGGGUCGUAAACUGCUUUUAUGAGUGAAGAAUAUGACGGUAACUCAUGAAUAAGGGUCGGCUAACUACGUGCCAGCAGCCGCGGUCAUACGUAGGACCCAAGCGUUAUCCGGAGUGACUGGGCGUAAAGAGUUGCGUAGGUGGUUAGUAAAGCGAAUAGUGAAAUCUGGCGGCUCAACCGUACAGGCUAUUAUUCGAACUCACUAACUCGAGAAUGGUAGAGGUAACUGGAAUUUCUAGUGUAGGAGUGAAAUCCGUAGAUAUUAGAAGGAACACCAAUGGCGUAGGCAGGUUACUGGACCAUUUCUGACACUGAGGCACGAAAGCGUGGGGAGCGA